Pezoporus flaviventris is the source of this 472-nucleotide long non-coding RNA. RefSeq lists it as uncharacterized. The transcript is spliced from 3 exons. NCBI's taxonomy places the organism in Eukaryota, Metazoa, Chordata, Aves, Psittaciformes, Psittacidae. The record is from RefSeq and is a predicted model, not a curated record.
AGACUGCUCUGCCCAUGACUGGAGAACUACCUACAACACAGAUUUCAAGCGCAGGCCAGCCUGUGGUGGACACUGUAAAGGACAUAUGAACCUUUCUCACAUUUUCCUCAAAGAUGUGCUCCACAAGAACCACUGGAUAUCCGAGUACAAUGAUGCCUAUAGCAUUUUCUUGCGGAGGCUGAGAUGGUCAUCUGAGAUCUCUGCUAUGGGGCUGUGCUCUGGGAAAGGGAUUGAGAUGGACGCAGCCCAGUGACUGGUGCUGCAGGUGACCAUGCUCCUUGUGCCCCAAAGCUGUCUGUGUGAUACCGUCCAUCAGAGGUCCUGAAAGCCUGAAAACCUCCUCUCUUUCUUGCAAACCACCACCGUGUCUAUCAGAUGUGAAAUGUUUGUCAGAGGUCUUUUGAAGCACAUAUUAUUAAAAUCUUCUCAGAACCCCAGCUUUUUUCAUUGCCAGAAAAGGCUUUUUUUUGGG